Molecule: non-coding RNA, 173 nt
Filed under: Pseudomonas mosselii
Lineage: Bacteria; Pseudomonadati; Pseudomonadota; Gammaproteobacteria; Pseudomonadales; Pseudomonadaceae
Source: RNAcentral
GGUUCUCGGGCGUUGGCCCGAGCUAAGACGGGAACGCGGUACAAGCCGCGGCUGCCCCCGCAACUGUAAGCACUGAAGGGUUCGGCACAGCCACUGCGCAGGCGCGCGGGAAGGCGCCGGCCCACCGGCCAGCGAGCCGCAGCGGUGCGAGCCAGGAGACCUGCCUCGUGACG